RNAcentral lists this ribosomal RNA (439 nucleotides) under uncultured bacterium. RNAcentral describes it as "partial 16S ribosomal RNA". It matches the Rfam family "Bacterial small subunit ribosomal RNA", at positions 339 to 795 of the family's 1533-position model. The record is from RNAcentral.
CUACGGGCGGCUCCAGUGGGGAAUAUUGCACAAUGGAGGAAACUCUGAUGCAGCAACGCCGCGUGGAGGAUGACACUUUUCGGAGCGUAAACUCCUUUUAUAUAGGAAGAAGAUGACGGUACUAUAUGAAUAAGCGCUGGCUAACUCCGUGCCAGCAGCCGCGGUAAUACGGAGGGCGCAAGCGUUACUCGGAAUCACUGGGCGUAAAGAGCGUGUAGGCGGAUUAAAAAGUCAGAAGUGAAAUCCUAUAGCUUAACUAUAGAACUGCUUCUGAAACUCUUAAUCUAGAAUAUGGGAGAGGUAGAUGGAAUUUCUGGUGUAGGGGUAAAAUCCGUAGAGAUCAGAAGGAAUACCGAUUGCGAAGGCGAUCUACUAGAACAUUAUUGACGCUGAGACGCGAAAGCGUGGGGAGCAAACAGGAUUAGAUACCCUAGUAGUC